GUGACCUCAAAUCAGGUAGGACUACCCGCUGAACUUAAGCAUAUCAAUAAGCGGAGGAAAAGAAACUAACAAGGAUUCCCCUAGUAACUGCGAGUGAAGCGGGAAAAGCUCAAAUUUAAAAUCUGUCAGUCUUUGGCUGUCCGAGUUGUAAUCUAGAGAAGUGUUAUCCGCGCUGGACCGUGUACAAGUCUCCUGGAAUGGAGCGUCAUAGAGGGUGAGAAUCCCGUCUUUGACACGGACUGCCAGGGCUUUUGUGAUGCGCUCUCAAAGAGUCGAGUUGUUUGGGAAUGCAGCUCAAAAUGGGUGGUAAAUUCCAUCUAAAGCUAAAUAUUGGCGAGAGACCGAUAGCGAACAAGUACCGUGAGGGAAAGAUGAAAAGAACUUUGGAAAGAGAGUUAAACAGUACGUGAAAUUGCUGAAAGGGAAACGCUUGAAGUCAGUCGCGUCAUUCAGGGAUCAACCUUGCUUUUGCUUGGUGUACUUUCUGGUUGACGGGUCAGCAUCAAUUUUGACCAUUGGAAAAAGAUUAAGGGAAUGUGGCAUACAUAGUGAUGUGUUAUAGCCCUUGGUUGCAUACAAUGGUUGGGAUUGAGGAACUCAGCACGCCGCAAGGCCGGGUUUUUAUUAACCACGUACGUGCUAGGAUGUGCUA
This 652-nucleotide ribosomal RNA is filed under the name Cortinarius muscigenus. Its description in RNAcentral is "eukaryotic LSU rRNA". It matches the Rfam family "Eukaryotic large subunit ribosomal RNA", at positions 1 to 630 of the family's 3401-position model. Lineage: Eukaryota; Fungi; Basidiomycota; Agaricomycetes; Agaricales; Cortinariaceae. The record is from RNAcentral.